This 68-nucleotide transfer RNA is filed under the name Ophioplinthus gelida. Its description in RNAcentral is "tRNA-Gly". The record is from RNAcentral. Lineage: Eukaryota; Metazoa; Echinodermata; Ophiuroidea; Amphilepidida; Ophiuridae.
ACUUUGUUAUUAUAAAAAUAUAUAUCUGAUUUCCAAUCAGAAGAUUUGUUUAAACCACAAACAAGGUC